Molecule: ribosomal RNA, 492 nt
Filed under: uncultured bacterium
Lineage: Bacteria
Description: partial 16S ribosomal RNA
Rfam family: Bacterial small subunit ribosomal RNA
Source: RNAcentral
AGUGAACGCUGGCGGUAGGCCUAACACAUGCAAGUCGAACGGCAGCACAGUAAGAGCUUGCUCUUACGGGUGGCGCGUGGCGGACGGGUGAGGUAUACACCGGAAUCUACUUUUUCGUGGGGGAUAACGUAGGGAAACUUACGCUAAUACCGCAUACGACCUACGGGUGAAAGCAGGGGAUCUUCGGACCUUGCGCGAUUGAAUGAGCCGAUGUCGGAUUAGCUAGUUGGCGGGGUAAAGGCCCACCAAGGCGACGAUCCGUAGCUGGUCUGAGAGGAUGAUCAGCCACGCUGGAACGGGAACACGGUCCAGACUCCUACGGGAGGCAGCAGUGGGGAAUAUUGGACAAUGGGCGCAAGCCUGAUCCAGCCAUACCGCGUGGGUGAAGAAGGCCUUCGGGUUGUAAAGCCCUUUUGGUGGGAAAGAAAAGCAGCAGGUUAAUACCCCGCUGUUCUGACGGUACCCAAAGAAUAAGCACCGGCUAACUUCGUG